GUGUGUCUAUUUAUUCAACUUUACGGGAACUCGGAAAAAUUACCUCUGAGCUCUGACAGCAUGGAGGCGAGAAUCGACAAAAGAUGCAGCUCAUUUGAGAUUCUUCAGGCUUCAGCCUCCUCUUGCUCAAACUGAGAACAAGAAUAAACUCCAACUGAAAAACCAACUGAGUCUCCAUUUAAGUUGCCAUAAAAAAUACUUCAGUAGGAUGAAAAUGCAA
RNAcentral lists this unclassified non-coding RNA (220 nucleotides) under Hevea brasiliensis (rubber tree). The record is from RNAcentral. Lineage: Eukaryota; Viridiplantae; Streptophyta; Magnoliopsida; Malpighiales; Euphorbiaceae.